RNAcentral lists this ribosomal RNA (450 nucleotides) under uncultured bacterium. RNAcentral's name for it is "partial 16S ribosomal RNA". It matches the Rfam family "Bacterial small subunit ribosomal RNA", at positions 338 to 795 of the family's 1533-position model. The record is from RNAcentral.
CCUACGGGGAGCAGCAGUGGGGAAUUUUGGACAAUGGGCGAAAGCCUGAUCCAGCAAUGCCGCGUGAGUGAAGAAGGCCUUCGGGUUGUAAAGCUCUUUUGUUUGGGAAGAAAUCCCUAAGGAUAAUACCCUUGGGGGAUGACGGUACCAAAAGAAUAAGCACCGGCUAACUACGUGCCAGCAGCCGCGGUAAUACGUAGGGUGCAAGCUUUAAUCGGAGUUACUGCGCGUGAUUUUGGCGCAGGGGGGUGAAAUCCCCGAGCUCAACUUGGGAACUGCACUUGUGACUGCAAGACUAGAGUGUGUCAGAGGGAGGUAGAAUUCCACGUGUAGCAGUGAAAUGCGUAGAUAUGUGGAGGAAUACCAGUGGCGAAGGCGGCCUCCUGGGAUAACACUGACGCUCAUGUACGAAAGCGUGGGGAGCAAACAGGAUUAGAUACCCCGGUAGUC